GCCCUCGCCCAAGGGUGAGCGCGCGCCUGCGCCACAGAGGCUGCCUGGCCGCGCGCGCAGGCGCAGGCGCAGGCGCAGGCGCAGAGGCCGACACCACCGGGCGGCUGGUAUGUGUCCACCGGCCCCUAGGCUCCUCGAGCCCCGUCCCUGGGAGACGCAGGCUCCUGCCCGCGGAGCUGCUCCGAGACCCGCGGGAGGGCACCUCCGGUCACCCGAGCCGCAAAUCCCCGCCGUCCGAAGAAGGUGUCGCCCCGGGCUGGCGGCCCAGCGUGGCUUAGGCCAGACCCCGAUCCAUCGACACCCCAAGGAAAUGCUGUGCACAAAAUUCCAAGAGGGCCUUUUCGAAUAGACGCAUGAACGGUGUUUGUGUCUGGAUCGUCCAGCCUCCCGGGAUCGAUUGGGAAUCUAGCUUCUGCUUGCCUUUCCAGUGCGACGCACAGUAGGAGCCUAAUAAAUGUUUGUUGAAUGAAUGCUGAAUAUCGAA
Pan troglodytes (chimpanzee) is the source of this 484-nucleotide long non-coding RNA. RefSeq lists it as uncharacterized. The record is from RefSeq and is a predicted model, not a curated record. NCBI's taxonomy places the organism in Eukaryota, Metazoa, Chordata, Mammalia, Primates, Hominidae. The transcript has 2 exons.